ACUACACCCUCCCCCGCCCACCGCCUCAGCAACCAACCUCCAGGGAGGGGAAAGGGGGCAGAAGUUUGAGUUAAUAACUAAUAGCUAAAGAUGUAAACAAUAAGCCUCCAUAAAACCCCAAAAGGACUGGACUGGUUUCUGAGAGCUUCCAGGUUGUUGAGCACGUGGAGGUUCUGGGAGGGUCCACACCCAGAGAAGGCAUGGAAGCUGACCCCUUCCCCAUACCUUGCUCUUUGCAUCUCUUCCAUUUGGCUGUUCCCGAGUUGUAUACUUUGUAAUAAGUGGGAUUUCCACCCAACAACAAUUCAGCCACACUGCUUCACACAUCUAGAAUCCAUCCAAAAUUGUAAAGGCUUUGUGGCACUACAGUGAAACAGGCAAGAACAUCUUCCAAACAUCCAGCACAAGAGCACACAGGAGGCCGGCAUAAUCACGAAUUGCAGCUGUCUGAAGGGCAGUCACAUAAAAGAGGAGAAGCUUCACCUUUGCUUCACAAGGCACAUCUUGAACCAGGGAUGGAAAUUACAGAGAGGCCAAAACCAGCUCGGUGUGAGCAGGACUGGUAACAGACUGGCCAAGCAACAGAAGGGGCUGCCCUGUGAAGAAGCAAGCUCUCUGUCAAUGGGAGGUGCAAGCUGAGCCUGCACUACCUUUUGUCACGGUUGCUAUGGAAAAGAUUAAGAGCCCGGAUAGCCCUUCCUCCUCUGGGGGCCUGGGCAUCAGCAAGUCGGAUGGCAGUGGAAGGUGGAGAAAUGGAAUCCUGCUGGGGGCUCAGGAGGCCUGCCCCCUGAUGCUGCCGUGCACUGCAGAUGUCCUUGAUGAAGAGAAUGAAUGGAAGCUGUCUUUCUCAAUGGCAAAAGGGCAUACUGCUGUUAUUGUCAGUGAGGGGUCAGUAGUUUAAAUGAUGAAACUCUGGGGAUCAGCGUAAAGUAAACCAACAUACUGCAUGUAAGUAUCAAGUAAAUGAGCAGAGACAGCCCCUGGUUUACAAACACCUGACUUAAGCAUCGUCCAUCCUACAGGACAGGGAAGGAGGAAGAAGCUUCGAGAGGCUGGAACAGUUGAGGGAGCGCUGACACGGUAAAGGCCACUUUGCUCAUCAUCACCAGGCGUGCUGCCGAAAAUUUCCACUCUGUUUACUCCCAAGACCUUACUCCUACUAUGUGGAGACACAUUUGAAUAAAAAAUUGGCCUCUUUUCAAAGUCAAAAUUCUGA
Molecule: long non-coding RNA, 1216 nt
Filed under: Homo sapiens (human)
Lineage: Eukaryota; Metazoa; Chordata; Mammalia; Primates; Hominidae
Description: long intergenic non-protein coding RNA 2052
Source: RNAcentral